RNAcentral lists this transfer RNA (63 nucleotides) under Phylinae Melaleucoides group sp. 352. RNAcentral's name for it is "tRNA-Leu". The record is from RNAcentral. Lineage: Eukaryota; Metazoa; Arthropoda; Insecta; Hemiptera; Miridae.
UAUGGCAGAAUAGUGCAAUGAAUUUAAGAUUCAUAUAAGGGNNAAAAUUUUCCCUAUUAGAAA